UAAAUGUUGCGGCAGACAUUCCCGAAGCAGAAUUAAAAUAGGAUGCCUUCCACGAGUCAACCGCCAAGAACCCUCCACACAGGCUUCCGAAACCCUGGACAUAAGAGAUAUACCAGAGACGCAUGGUCCAUUCGCUCCAGUGAUAUCAAUUAGAGGGCCCAAACCGGUCCAAUCAUCAUGCCAAAAAUAAGCCAAUUUUCCCGAGUAAACCUGACAUGAUAAAAAGGAGCGAGCCAGAUGACGAAGCUUCAUAAG
RNAcentral lists this long non-coding RNA (255 nucleotides) under Eutrema salsugineum. Its description in RNAcentral is "long non-coding RNA (ESAL_LNC000280)". Lineage: Eukaryota; Viridiplantae; Streptophyta; Magnoliopsida; Brassicales; Brassicaceae. The record is from RNAcentral.